RNAcentral lists this ribosomal RNA (274 nucleotides) under uncultured bacterium. Its description in RNAcentral is "partial 16S ribosomal RNA". It matches the Rfam family "Bacterial small subunit ribosomal RNA", at positions 523 to 796 of the family's 1533-position model. The record is from RNAcentral.
AUACAGAGGGUGCGAGCGUUAAUCGGAAUUACUGGGCGUAAAGCGCGCGUAGGCGGCUUGGUCAGUCGGAUGUGAAAGCCCCGGGCUCAACCUGGGAAUGGCAUUCGAUACUGCCAGGCUAGAGUAUGGGAGAGGGAAGUGGAAUUUCCGGUGUAGCGGUGAAAUGCGUAGAUAUCGGAAGGAACACCAGUGGCGAAGGCGACUUCCUGGCCCAAUUCUGACGCUGAGGUGCGAAAGCGUGGGGAGCGAACAGGAUUAGAAACCCUAGUAGUCC